GAUGAAUAAAGUAGAUUUUCUCCUCUGGAACACACUGCAGUUUAAUUUCACUUCUUUCUACAAUGUGCGAUGAAGGUGGACUUAACUUUUAAAGGCAAAGGCACAAGCCACUGCCAGGAUAAAUGAAAAGACGCUGAGGGGGCGACGGGCACCACACAGGAGAGGAAAUGCUUUCUGGCUGGUUCCUAAUUUUCAUAUCCGGGUCAUCGUCAGAAAUCAUUUUCAGAGCAGCCAGAAACAUGUUAAUCUGAGGGAGAGCUCCAUACUCCCACACAGACUUCCCUUUCCUGCGGAGUGAGCCAAGAAGGAGGAAGUGGUCCUGAAUGUGAAAGUUGAAACCUUCUGUUCUUCAGUCUUGGUGGCUCUGGGAAGGAUAGAAAUGCCUCCACACAGGGAUCCCAGCUCUAGUGCUAAAAAUGCAGCAGGCCACCAUGAGUGGCUUCCCCAUCCAGAAUCAUGGGGGCGGCUUACAUGUCACUUACAUGAAGGACAGUAGGAAAUGUGAACAAUCACAAGAAAAAUCUACCCUUUACCUGGUUGCUGAUCAUGGCAUUAAAUAUCCAAGAUUGGCUUUUGGCUUUGCUUUCUUGUUUGCUUUGCUUUGUUUUGUUCUUUAAGCAAAUAGGGGUAAAUGAGAUCAAAGUUAUACAUAUUCUAAGUAGAAAUAUUACCUGAUUUUAAAUUAUCUAGAAUUUGGGUGUAUCUAACUGGUUUCAAUGUGGUUUCUUUAAAUCACAGAUCCGGUCACAGGUCAUGCCAAACUCAAAGAGAAAGGAAGGGCACUUGGUAGCAUAAUAACAAUAAAAAAAAUGUGUAAACUGUUGUGAUGAUGAGAGAGAAGAUCAGCUGAGCACAAAGAGGUGUCUCAGGCAGGAUAAGAUCCUCCAAAUGAUUUCUUGGUUUUCAGAUACGAUUCUAAAGUAGGAGCUGAGUACCUCUGCACAGCUCUCCAGCAUUGUCCAGCUGCCAGUGCCUGUGUUACCCCCAAAUUUCUUCCACCUUUUUGUCAGUACCUCAGGUUUGUUCAGGCUGCUUCCCAUCUGUAGCUACAUAUGACACGAUGACAGAAUCUAUGUGCUAUUCUGUGUUCAAAUGUUUGUCUCCAGAAUCACAGUCACAUUAAAUCUAUGUGUAAACAUGAUAUAUGACUGAAUUUUCUGUGCUGUAAAUGAUGUCCUCCGUAUGUCUCAAUACUGUAGGAAAGGGGGGGAAAGGAACAAUAAAGACUGAUGGAGAGUAGAUUAAGAAGCACGUCAUAAAAAAAUCUAAGAAAACCUCUUGGACUCUUGUUUUAAGGUGGAAUCAGUAAGCUGUACCUUCCCAUUCCAAUGAAUUAUCCUAACAGCUCGAUUUACUGAUAGACUGUAGUUAGGUAUGAGACAAACAGUUACUGUACUGUUGAAGACAUUCGAAGCAGAAAAGAGUCAACAAAUUAUAAUUUACAAAGACCCUGGACCAAUCUCAGAAAUACAUAUCUCAGAGAUCAGAUACAGUCUUAUCCUGAAAUAUCAUUGCUAGUUAAUCAGAAGUUGUUGAAAGAAUGGAGUAUAAACAAAGAAUAAACACAACUACAUAGACAGGAUGAACCUUAAUUCAAAUGUUUUAUUAGAAACCAUAAUUUCUUUGUGAAAUGUAUCAUCUUUACCUUUCCAUUUGUUUGUUUUACAAUGAAAUAUCAAGUAAAAUUUAAGUAAAUAAAUAUUUUGGUCAUUGUGAAGUGA
Peromyscus californicus insignis is the source of this 1721-nucleotide long non-coding RNA. RefSeq lists it as uncharacterized. The record is from RefSeq and is a predicted model, not a curated record. Lineage: Eukaryota; Metazoa; Chordata; Mammalia; Rodentia; Cricetidae. The transcript has 2 exons.